Molecule: ribosomal RNA, 697 nt
Filed under: Okibacterium sp. MOLA 525
Lineage: Bacteria; Bacillati; Actinomycetota; Actinomycetes; Micrococcales; Microbacteriaceae
Description: bacterial SSU rRNA
Rfam family: Bacterial small subunit ribosomal RNA
Source: RNAcentral
GGUGGAUUAUGGCGAACGGGUGAGUAACACGUGAGUAACCUGCCCUUAACUCUGGGAUAAGCGCUGGAAACGGCGUCUAAUACCGGAUAUGACAACCGACGGCAUCGUCUGGUUGUGGAAAGAAUUUUGGUCAAGGAUGGACUCGCGGCCUAUCAGCUUGUUGGUGAGGUAAUGGCUCACCAAGGCGACGACGGGUAGCCGGCCUGAGAGGGUGACCGGCCACACUGGGACUGAGACACGGCCCAGACUCCUACGGGAGGCAGCAGUGGGGAAUAUUGCACAAUGGGCGAAAGCCUGAUGCAGCAACGCCGCGUGAGGGACGACGGCCUUCGGGUUGUAAACCUCUUUUAGCAGGGAAGAAGCGAAAGUGACGGUACCUGCAGAAAAAGCACCGGCUAACUACGUGCCAGCAGCCGCGGUAAUACGUAGGGUGCAAGCGUUGUCCGGAAUUAUUGGGCGUAAAGAGCUCGUAGGCGGUUUGUCGCGUCUGCUGUGAAAUCCCGAGGCUCAACCUCGGGUCUGCAGUGGGUACGGGCAGACUAGAGUGCGGUAGGGGAGAUUGGAAUUCCUGGUGUAGCGGUGGAAUGCGCAGAUAUCAGGAGGAACACCGAUGGCGAAGGCAGAUCUCUGGGCCGUAACUGACGCUGAGGAGCGAAAGGGUGGGGAGCAAACAGGCUUAGAUACCCUGGUAGUCCAC